CAAUCGGUUAGUGGCGGACGGCUGAGUAACACGUAGGUAACCUACCCUUGAGUGGGGAAUAACUCCGCGAAAGCGGAGCUAAUACCGCAUACGACCGUAUGCCCUCGGGUGUACGAGGAAAGUCGCAAGGCGCUCGGGGAGGGGCCUGCGUCCGAUUAGCUAGUUGGUGAGGUAAUGGCCCACCAAGGCGACGAUCGGUAGCUGGUCUGAGAGGAUGAUCAGCCAGACUGGGACUGUGACACGGCCCAGACUCCUACGGGAGGCAGCAGUUAGGAAUCUUGGGCAAUGGGCGAAAGCCUGACCCAGCAACGCCGCGUGGGUGAUGAAGGCCUUCGGG
This 337-nucleotide ribosomal RNA is filed under the name uncultured bacterium. RNAcentral's name for it is "bacterial SSU rRNA". It matches the Rfam family "Bacterial small subunit ribosomal RNA", at positions 85 to 422 of the family's 1533-position model. The record is from RNAcentral.